Molecule: ribosomal RNA, 247 nt
Filed under: uncultured Comamonadaceae bacterium
Lineage: Bacteria; Pseudomonadati; Pseudomonadota; Betaproteobacteria; Burkholderiales; Comamonadaceae
Description: partial 16S ribosomal RNA
Rfam family: Bacterial small subunit ribosomal RNA
Source: RNAcentral
GUAGGGUGCGAGCGUUAAUCGGAAUUACUGGGCGUAAAGCGUGCGCAGGCGGUUUUGUAAGACAGAGGUGAAAUCCCCGGGCUCAACCUGGGAACUGCCUUUGUGACUGCAAGGCUAGAGUACGGCAGAGGGGGAUGGAAUUCCGCGUGUAGCAGUGAAAUGCGUAGAUAUGCGGAGGAACACCGAUGGCGAAGGCAAUCCCCUGGGCCUGUACUGACGCUCAUGCACGAAAGCGUGGGGAGCAAAC